Long non-coding RNA from Erpetoichthys calabaricus (reedfish), 4540 nucleotides. RefSeq lists it as uncharacterized. NCBI's taxonomy places the organism in Eukaryota, Metazoa, Chordata, Cladistia, Polypteriformes, Polypteridae. The transcript is spliced from 3 exons. The record is from RefSeq and is a predicted model, not a curated record.
AGAACUCUGUUUCUCUCUUCUAUGUAUUGUCGCUGGUGCAAAGCUUUUUUCUUUUUAUAUAAGAAAAGCAAAGCAAAAAAUAGCUAUUGCUUUUCAUUUUUAUUUUUGAUAUAACAAAUAUUUCAUGUUUUUUGUAAAAGGCGAAAGAUUUAUCCUUUAUGGGAAUGAAGAGAAUAUGAUGUGAAAGCUUAUGUUUGGUUCAGUUUCCAUGUUCAUACAUCUUUACAUUAAUAAAGCUGCCCUGCAAGAAAUACUCAACUUCUAAAAGUUUUCAGAUUUUGUAAACUUGAAAAUUAGAUUUCUACAUUUUAAUCUAAAUAUUAGUAUUUUAGACCAUCUAUAGUUACUGAACAUUUUUAACGAUGACAUUAACCACUUUCAGCAAUAUGUAGAAAUAGAAAUAAGGACUAAAAUAUAUUGCUUACAUUGACAGAAUAUUAUUUAUUGUGGUAGUAAAUUUAAUCUUUUUUUUUUUUUUUUACAAUGUUUAUUCAUUAUUCCUGGUAGAUUUACACCAGCUUACUAAAGUUUCUUGGUUAACCCCUUAUUUCAAGCAGUACAAUGAAUGGGCAGAGCUUUUAAUUGACACCAUAUUUUUGUUUUGGCAUUUAACCAGUUGGUUAACACAUCUUGUUUUCUUUUAGUCGUAAGUUGUAACGAAAUGUUCAGUCAAAAUGUGAACUGACCAGUAAAAUUUUGUUUGUAUUUUUCUUGUUUAGGAUUGCCAGGCUGACAAAUUCAGACUAUAGAGGGAAUGAAAGUGUGUCAAGAAAAGGGAUCAACAACCACCAGUUUAAUCAGAUCUUUAAUAUUUGUCACUUUUCUAAUGUCCCAGCUUAUUCUAAUAACUAAUUAGUACUCCCACUUUACAGGUCCAGUGUGCUAGGUUUAAAUCCAGCACCUGAUUGUCUGCAUAGUGUUUGCAUGUUUUCCAUGCAUCUUUGUGCUUUUCUUCUGGGUACACUAAUUUUUCUACUGCAUCAUCCAAGCAGUGCAGGUUUGUUUAGAUGUUCCUGGUUUGACUGUGGGUGUGUGCGCUGGAGGACGCUGCAGUGGAUUGGCCCUUUUCCUGCGUUGUGCCCAGGAUUUCCAGGAUAGGCACUUGCUCCAUGAUCCUCUGAAUUGGAGUUUGCAGAUUUCAGAAUGCCUAUUCCAGUUGUUAGUUUGUCAGUGACCAGAGUACAAAGAGAGCCAUAUUGUUUGAAACUCCCUUGCGCUCAGUGCAGCCAUUAUGCACACCUGGUUCAUAUGACCCUAAGCCAGAGAAGCCUAUUAGAAAAUGAACCGAUUUUUGAACAGACCAGUUCACCCCUAUCCAUUUAAUUCAGUGGAUAGGUGCAAAUUUAUUCUCAUUAUCAUUUCUAAGUCCCUGAUCUUUCUAACUCCCUUUUCCAAAUUUAUGGUGUUACAAGUUCAAUGAUGUCACAUUUUACAAUGCAUUUAUCUGCUCAUUCAAGUAUUUGUUGAAAAAUUAACAGUCUCAAUAAUCAAGUUUACACGGUCUUACACUUUUUGGACUUAAUACCCUAUAUGUUUUCUUUUGAACAAAAAUCUGUGUUAUGCAUUAUAGUCUCAUCACUCUUUUGAUUUGUAACAGAUUUUUGUAUAAUUAAUGUGUAAUUGUUUCUUUAAUAGCCAACUAAGAUAAUUGCUAUCCAUACUCAGUAGUUACAGUACUGUUGAUUAUUACACUCUUCUUAACCGCCAGUGUUGCUAGUAAUAUGUUAAAAGUAAUGCAGUCAAAUUACUUUUUAAGUAACGUAUAACAUAAUGUAAUACUUAUUUUCUUGACGAAAAAAGUACCUGCAUGCUACAGCUGUCUGUCUAGCGGAGAAGCAGUUGAUUGCAUACGUAAUGUGUAAUCAAGCGAAAAGAACCGAACAAAUGUUAAAAGUAUACAUCCAUCCAUCCAUCCAUUAUCCAACCCGCUGAAUCCAAACACAGGGUCACGGGGGUCUGCUGGAGCCAUUCCCAGCCAACACAGGGCACAAGGCAGGAACCAAUCCCGGGCAGGGUGCCAACCCACCGCAGGACACACACAAGCACACCCACACACCAAGCACACACUAGGGACAAUUUAGAAUCGCCAAUCCACCCAACCUGCAUGUCUUUGGACUGUGGGAGGAAACCGGAGUGCCCGGAGGAAACCCACGCAGACACGGGGAGAACAUGCAAACUCCACACAGGGAGGACCCGGGAAGCGAACCCAGGUCCCCAGGUCUCCCAACUGCGAUGCAGCAGCGCUACCCACUGUGCCACCGUGCCGCCCAACAAGUAUACAAUUGCACUUAAUCUUGCAUUUGCUGAGGGAUAAAUUAAAUCCGGCCAGUUAGGGUGACAGAGACCCAGUAUCCAUCACAGCAGCACUGGUGUAAGACAUGAGGUCAUUGGGCUUUUAGCAGCUGGUACACAAUAAAGGUGCUCUUCAAGGGCAGUGUUCAUGCCGCCCAAUACCCCUCAGCUUCAUAGUGUGCUUCUUUCUAUAUCUGGCUUCUCCAGGUAUUCUCACACACUCAGACUGGUCUUGGCUACCUGAGGAGCAUGUUUCUCCCAUGGCUGGACCUGGAACGCAAAAAUAUAUAUCAAACACAAGAAAAUGUUCAAAUUUGCCUGUUUUUCUGGUCAGUUUAAUGAAGGUUCAUAGGUUUAGGAUGUAAUAACAAAUACUGGCAUGUAAAAUAUACAGUUUUUUAUAGAAAAGUAGAAAAAGUACUUUUUGUAACACAUUACAUUUUAUAAGUAACUGGAACAUAUUUAUUCUUCUUGUAAAUAAUGUGUAAUGCGACUAAGUUACUUUUAAAAGAUACAUUCCCCAACACUGAUCACCACUGAGUUUUUUUUUUUUUAGUAAUUGUGGAAUUUGCAGUGACUUAUUAUGAAGAGAAGAAAAGACUUUUAGGUUCAUUGGGUGUUAUGGUGUGGUGUGGUGUAGGUCUCGAUUAUUAAGCCAGCGACUUUUACUGGGUUGUGCAGAUUUAUUUAUUUUUUUGCUGUUAAUAUAGGGAUUCAUCCUAGAUCUCCUGAGAAAACAAUACUUUUUCAGUCUUUCUAACAUAAUCAUUACCUGACCAGUAGUGGUUCUGACAGUGUUGAUAUGGAAUGCUAGAGCAGUGGUUCCCAACUGGGGAGCCCCAGUAAACUUCGGGGGGUGGCAUAUGAUGACUUGAAUCACUAAACAUCAUUUAUUGUUUUAAAGAAGACUGCUUCAUCAAUAUUCCACAUCAUGUGUAGAUAGAGUUCAGGUGAACUCCCCACAUAUGCACAGCUAUUCAGGGUGUAGUGGUCACUUGUGUUUUUUUUUUUUUUUUUUUUUUGCACAGCACAUAGCACCAUAGCUACUAACCUGUAGUUAAAACAGGUAUGGGGUGUUCAUAAUAAUAAAAAAACGAAGUUAAAAAAAAAAAAAAAAGGUAACAAAUCAUACUGCCUUAGAAAAGUUAAGUGUUUUAGCAAGAUAGAAAAAAAUGUGUCUGUCUCAUGAUAAGAUAGUAGGUUGACUUCAGACACGUUGCUGCUGCAUCCAUGCACCGGUGUCUGCGGCUUAUCUGACUGCUACUACAGCCUUAUGCGAUUCUGUUGUUUUCUGUUGACUUGGUUGUUGUAUAUGUAGAGAAAAUGCAUUUGCAUUUCCUCUCAUGUUAAAUGUGGCUGUUGCAGAUGGAGCUCCAGAAUUGAAUCCAAAUGGUGACAACAUUGCUUUGAUAAUUAUGUUAUGAAAAACAUCUCUACUGCAAUUAGUUCUACAUUAUAAUAAUGAGUUUUGUGCAUGUUUUUCUUUUUACAGAAAAACUUGUUUUAUAAAAUAAAGCUUAAAAUAAUGCUUGAGCCAAGUGAGUAGUGAGCAGCUUUUGCGGUUAAUAUUUAUCUUUACAAAUGCCAAAUCAUUUUAUAUUACGACAAAGAAAUUCAGGCACUAGUAAAAAUAACUUUUAUUAAAUAAUAAUAUACAAGCAGUUCAGAUAAUUUUGUAUUGUGAUUUAAAACCGCACAGGCAUUGUAAUAACACUAGCUGCAAACAAUCUUUUUCUUAAUAAAUUUUUCAGACAGUGGCAAAAGUAUAAGAGGGUCAAUAUCCUGGUCUGUGUGUGGGGCCAUCACAUAUUCUAGCGGUACUCUAGGCGAUCAUAGAAGAAUAAAGGUUGAGAAACCACCAUGUUAGAGGAUUUAGGUUGAAUGCUUGUAAAUCAAUAUUUUAACAUAUUUGUUCAAUUUGAAGUAUGUUUGUGAUUGUUCAUUUUUGAAGUAGUGAUUGUUCAUUUAUGCCCACAAAUACAUAUGUACAUUUAUAUUUAUGGAACAUGUCACUUCUUAUAUAAAAAUAACAUUAAUGAGACAUUGCAAGAAACAAAAUGUGAAAAUGUAUGCAGAGGUCUGAGUACUUUUGGAGGGCACUUUAAUUAACAAUGAUUGUACAGGAGAAUAAUGAAUAAAAGUGUAGCUACUUUUCUUGCAAUGUGUUCUGUUAAUGAAUAUUACAAACAAAACAGAGCACUCAGUCUGCAUUUUUUUAUACUUGUUUGCAUUUUCAAGAUUUUGUGUG